This 746-nucleotide long non-coding RNA is filed under the name Zostera marina. RNAcentral's name for it is "long non-coding RNA (ZMAR_LNC004849)". Lineage: Eukaryota; Viridiplantae; Streptophyta; Magnoliopsida; Alismatales; Zosteraceae. The record is from RNAcentral.
AGCCAAACAAUAGAAAUGUAUAACCAAACAAUAACUUAGGAAUUUUUAUCAGCCAUACUGCAUUCCACCUGAAUUUCCUCUUCUUCAUCUGAUGAAGGGACACUCAUGACCUUCUUCGCAGAUUUCUUUGCCAUCCUCUUCCUCUUAAUACCUGGAGUUUUCUUUUCAUUAAAAGGACUACCUUUAUUUUUAUUUAUUUUUCAAUUUUCGACAAUCUUCGGCCAUUAGUUUCCUCAGUGUAGCAUCGAAAUCAGGACUAGGUCUUCGUUUGGACGAAGUUUCUGCCUUUCCUGCUAACAUAAUAUUUCGUUUCAAUCAAUAAAUGUAGUAAACAGAGGCCUAAAAAAAAAUCAUGAUCCUUUCCAUAAAUGUAUCCAUCGUGAAUUCACGAUCCUUUCCAUAAAACUGUAUCCAUCAUGAAUUCAUGAUCCUUUCCAUAAAAAUACAAAUUUAAUCACGAAUUCUAUGAUUUAGAAAAAUGAAAAACAAACAAAUGCACUACCAGUAAAUCAUACCUAUUUGAUCUAGUUCAUUGGUUAUCAACUGAUCGUGACCCUCUAGGAAGAAGGUCGAUCUUAUCUACUAUAGUAUAAUUCCAAGUAUUCCACAAGUAUAAUCACAAUGUAUCACAAGUAUAAUCACUGUAUUACAAGUAAUCCCCCCCCCUUUACACUUCACCCCUAGGGGUAUUUAUACAACUUCCUAACACGAAUCGACCUGAUGGAUCCGAUAUACUUGGGACGCCU